Nylanderia fulva is the source of this 742-nucleotide non-coding RNA. NCBI's taxonomy places the organism in Eukaryota, Metazoa, Arthropoda, Insecta, Hymenoptera, Formicidae. The record is from RefSeq and is a predicted model, not a curated record.
AUAUCCUAAUAUUUAUUCAGAACCGCGAAGGCCCGCGUCGAGGGAACUUGAUUGUUUAGCCGGCGGCGAGAGCGAUUUCAUGAGUGACGUGACGAGUCAACGAAAGAGGAGGCAAAGAAAAGAAAGGGUAUCAGACGACUGCUCACUCGCCGUGAAUCUACCCUAAGAGAUUGCGUGGUAUAACUAUCGGCUACGAGACACCUUCGAACUUCCAGAUCUCUAGGGGCUGUCGGUGGUAACAGAGGGAAGAACGAGGCGGCACGAAGUUCGCGGUGAAAGGAAUGUGUGAGAGUGCGCAUUUAUUCAUAUAUAGUGACGUGGGUGCAGUGGUAUCCCAUAUAGCGACUUAGUCACUAAUGAAGAUCACCGUCACAGUUCCUUCCUCGAACAAAGCAAUGGAAAUCGGUCUUCUGGGACACACAGGCUUCCCCUUUCAGAGCACGUACGAGUGUGGUCGAGCGGUAACGUGUCCCGCGGGACAGCCGCUGGGAUGGCCCAACGCGAUUUUCAACUUGACGUAGCCCUCUCUCGCAAGAUUUUUAUGCACGGUAAGAGUUCGGCGAGUUUUCACGAUAUAAGUUUUUAUCGAAGAGAAUCGUGGUAGGAUAUUAUUGUGUCCUUGUAACUAAUAAAGUCAAAUUGCGAAUACAGAAAGAAGAUUAUGAUCAAACUUGAGUUUUAAUCUCUCUGUAGAAUCAAGCUUCGAUGUAAUUUUACACAUUAACACAAAUUUUAUAUACAA